RNAcentral lists this ribosomal RNA (206 nucleotides) under uncultured bacterium. RNAcentral's name for it is "partial 16S ribosomal RNA". It matches the Rfam family "Bacterial small subunit ribosomal RNA", at positions 1295 to 1500 of the family's 1533-position model. The record is from RNAcentral.
AGAUUGCAGGCUGCAACUCGCCUGCAUGAAGUCGGAAUUGCUAAUAAUCGUAGGUCAGCAUACUACGGUGAAUACGUUCCCGGGCCUUGUACACACCGCCCGUCAAACCAUGAGAGUUGGCAACACCCGAAGUCGGUAGUCUAACCGCAAGGAGGACGCCGCCGAAGGUGGGGUUGAUGAUUAGGGUUAAGUCGUAACAAGGUAAC